AAGGCUUCGGCUGAUAGGAUCUUUGUUGAAGAUUCAGGGGGACAUGAAGAUCUACCAACCGAGAUUGCUUUGCCUAAUGAAGAAUGGGAGAACCUCCUGCAGCAAGAUAAAAAGAGGAGUGGUGAGGAAAGCAAGAAGAAAGGUAAGACCUGAAGCAAAACUGAAAGCAUUCGGACAAGAGCCAUGAUGGAGUCCCUUGGUAGAAAGGGGAGUAAUUCUACCAACCUUCCGGAUUCUCAAUGAAGUGCGUUAUCUGGAAUGUCCGUGGAAUGAAUAAAAGAAGUAGACAGAGGGUAAUAAGAUCUCUUAUUAGAUCUCAGAAAGUGGACUUGGUGGUCUUUCAGAUGAAAAGUGCCACUCGGGGAUAAAUCCGAAGCCUCGAUAUCCAACCACCCGCAAUCUGUCGGCCUAGCUCCCUACUGAACAGGGCGUGAAGAUCUCUGACC
Molecule: long non-coding RNA, 446 nt
Filed under: Phoenix dactylifera (date palm)
Lineage: Eukaryota; Viridiplantae; Streptophyta; Magnoliopsida; Arecales; Arecaceae
Description: long non-coding RNA (PDAC_LNC003034)
Source: RNAcentral